GAUGAACGCUGGCGGCGUGCCUAAUACAUGCAAGUCGAGCGAACAGACGAGGAGCUUGCUCCUCUGACGUUAGCGGCGGACGGGUGAGUAACACGUGGAUAACCUACCUAUAAGACUGGGAUAACUUCGGGAAACCGGAGCUAAUACCGGAUAAUAUAUUGAACCGCAUGGUUCAAUAGUGAAAGACGGUUUUGCUGUCACUUAUAGAUGGAUCCGCGCCGCAUUAGCUAGUUGGUAAGGUAACGGCUUACCAAGGCAACGAUGCGUAGCCGACCUGAGAGGGUGAUCGGCCACACUGGAACUGAGACACGGUCCAGACUCCUACGGGAGGCAGCAGUAGGGAAUCUUCCGCAAUGGGCGAAAGCUUGACGGAGCAACGCCGCGUGAGUGAUGAAGGUCUUCGGAUCGUAAAACUCUGUUAUUAGGGAAGAACAAAUGUGUAAGUAACUAUGCACGUCUUGACGGUACCUAAUCGGAAAGCCACGGCUAACUACGU
Molecule: ribosomal RNA, 496 nt
Filed under: uncultured bacterium
Lineage: Bacteria
Description: partial 16S ribosomal RNA
Rfam family: Bacterial small subunit ribosomal RNA
Source: RNAcentral